Molecule: long non-coding RNA, 632 nt
Organism: Arachis ipaensis
Lineage: Eukaryota; Viridiplantae; Streptophyta; Magnoliopsida; Fabales; Fabaceae
Source: RefSeq, a predicted model, not a curated record
GCCCCCAAACCCUUGACCUCCUUUGAUCCACCAUAACUCUUCCGUCCGGGCUCCGAUCACCGCACCGUUCGCGGCCACGCGCUCAGCGCGUCGAGCUCUACCUUUCUAUCCGAACAAUUUCACUGGUUCAAGUUAGCUUCCGGAACUUGUGGGCUCAAGCUAUUGAGCAUAUGGGUAUGGUGUAGUUUAAGAGGGUGUUUAUGCAUUGGACUUGAAUUUGGAUUACUUGGAGCUUUGUUGGUGACAAGGCUUACUUCGGGGCUGUUUGAUUGAGCUUGGAGGGGCUGUGAUUUUGUGUUGAGAGGCUGCCUUGGGUGAAUUAAGUGAUCGGCCAAGGUAUGGUUUAAGUUUUGCACGUUUAAUAUUUACGGUGUUGUGAAAACUUAGGUUAGAGGAACCAUAGGAUAAGUUGAAUUGUUUGUUGUAUUUAAUGAUUAGCCUUGUAAUAUUGUUGGGAUAGAUUUGUUGGUGGAUUUAUAUAUUGGAAUUAUGAGAUGUGGAAGUUAUUAAUGGUGUGCUCCUAUAUUUAUUUAUGAUGGAUUAGGAUUGGUGUUUGUUAAUAAGGAUGUAGAGUUGUGUUAUGGUGGUAUUGCAUAUGCUGUAACUAAUUAUGUAAUGAUCGGAAUUGUAUG